Molecule: long non-coding RNA, 2533 nt
Organism: Rhinolophus ferrumequinum (greater horseshoe bat)
Lineage: Eukaryota; Metazoa; Chordata; Mammalia; Chiroptera; Rhinolophidae
Exons: 4
Source: RefSeq, a predicted model, not a curated record
CUGGCUCAUGUGGGAAUCGAACUGGCAGCCUUCAGGCAUUAGGAGCAGGGAGCUCCAACCGCCUGAGCCACCGGGCCGGGCCCCAGAAAGUAUUUUUCUCUUCUUGCUUUUAGUCAUCAUUCGGAAUUUGUUAGGAGAGAGGGGACAGACAAAGGUAUACUUUUAUAUUUAUUUAAUAAUCUUUUAUUGAGUACUACUAUGUACACAGGUGCUGGGGAGGCAAGUACAAUUAUGAUACAGAGAAAAGGAAGAAAAUUUUAACUUCUUAUUGCAGGCUGUUGCCUGUAGGGAAAGUAUGUGAAUCAGAAUCCUGGAAUAUUAGUGCUGGAAGGAUUCUUAGGGGUGAAUAUAGACCUUCUUACAUAGAUGGGAAAACUGAAGCCCAGAAUGGGGAAAGGGCUUGACCAAGCUGCACAAGUUAGAACAUUCAAGUGAUUUUUAAUGAGAUUUAUUAAUGAGAAAAUAGUAUUGGUCCUUAGCUUCUGAUCCAAAUGGAGGGAAGCAGGGCAAGGUGGAGUGCGUGAGAAGACAGGAGGGGGAGGGUGGAGUCAUCCUGCAAAAGGAAGCCAGGGAGCCCAGAACAGGAUCCAGGACCUUGACCCUCUCUCUCCCUCCUGGUGGGGAGAUCCUUGAAGCCUUCCAUUCCCUCAACAGAGGAAGUAAGCAGAAAAAGAGGAAGACUGGCACAUCGAACUCUGAGCCCAGCCUCCGAGCGUUUUCCAGACCCUUACUCCAGGGACUGACAGUGGAGGGAUAGGAAUUCUCUUUUCUGCCAGAAAAGUAUCUCGCGAUGUGCUUUUUCCAAGUCACUUCACCCCUCAGUUUUGUCAUCUGUAAGAUGGGGCCACUGUCCCUGCCACAUCGCAGGCCAGGACGGUAUAAGAGGAUCAAACGAGAGAAGAGUAAAGCCGAGAUUAUUCGUGCCUGGCUUUUCCUGCAAACAGAUUUCUACCCCCUCCCCCAGGACCUGUCCCAAAGAGGCGUCUGGAAAUUCAACAGAGCCAGCCAGUCUGGGAGUUAAACAAUCAGCAGCCCUACGCGGAGAUCCGCCGAGACAGAACAGCUAUUCAGACGGCGGGGGCGGACAGUCGGGACUCAUUGGACGGCAGAAAAGUCACUGUGCUGCUGAGCAGCUAGGACCUUCUGGAAAUCUGCAAUGCACAACUCGCCAAAAUCUGUCCUGGAGGAUGCCUGGGAAAGCCAUGCACGAGAUUAUUGCUCAGCCGGACUGAGUGGUGUUACUAAAACCAAUCAGCACGGAGCCAGGCAGCACCAGAAAAUGAGAACUAAUCACUUUGGCCAGCAGCCUUGAAAACACGUUCUCCUUCAUAAAGAGAUAAAAAGGCAAGUAAUUGAGCAAGGAGACCUCAGAAUGUUGUCAACAGAGGAUGAGGAAGAAAUGAAGAAAGACACAACGGGUAUGGCUACUUUUCUUUUCUUUUUUUUUUUUUACUUUGACCAUUAGCAUUAAGUUGGUUACCGUACACAUCCAAAGGCCCAGCAUCUUGGAAAUAUCAUGAAGUGGCACACCUUGUACCAGAGUCUCACAAGAAUAAAAUAGACAAUGCUACAUCAAGUGGUUAAAAAUACACAAAAAAGUAGUUUUAACAGUCUAUAAAUUUUUUAUACUUAAAAUCAUGAUUGAGUUGAAAUAAAAAAGUGCAUUUCAAUUGCUAAAAAAAUAAUAUUGGUAAAGUUAACACAAGAGGGAAAAUCAGUACACUGAGGGAUCUGACAGGAUGCUAGAAAAAAGAUGACUCAGGGAAGCGAGGCUAGUUUGGAGAUUCAGGAGGGGAGCUGUUCUACCUCACUGCGCUUCCUUGGGGCCAGGCAGCUCUCCUCUCCCUAGUAUCUUUCCCAUCCUAAGGGAUCCUGUCCUACCUACCUGUCACACCCCCAACUGAAAGACUCUUCUAAACUUCUUUGCAGCAUGAAAAGUACCUGCCCUACAUGAGUCAACUUGACCUUCAAUCACGUCUUGGCAGAGGUAGGAGAGGGACACUGCCCCCUUCUGGACUUUACACAAGUACCCCAGCCACACGGCCUCAAUCCUUAGGACUUGGCAGGCAGAACAGGGACCAAGCAGCUUCUGUUUUGUCAAACUCCUUUGGACAAAUGUUCAACAUUCAACAACAAGCUUUGUAAACCUAACACUAAACAAUUCCUGGCAAGCAAACUGGAUAUUCUUUUCUAUAAGAAAUGAGGAAAAGUGCAAGUGAUUUCAGUACUACUGGGGAAAACAAAAAUAAAACAAACAAGUUACACCUGGCCACCUGUUACCUAAACCACUCACAGCUUCAGUUUCAUCUUUUUUUUUCUUUUUUUUUUUUUUGUCAAGUGUUGGAGUUACAGGUGGACACGUCUAUCUAUCUGUAUUGCUCAGGGUCAGACUUGGCUGGGGAAAAGGAGCCAGGCAGAUAUCUGUUAGGAGGGCCAUUCCAGGUGCAAAUGCCUCCUGGCUCUACAGGAAAAUGGUUACGGGCUGGUGUUUCCCUUUAGUUGAUGCCCUGCUUAUUGUGAAGGUGAUGCUGCA